RNAcentral lists this ribosomal RNA (462 nucleotides) under uncultured bacterium. RNAcentral's name for it is "partial 16S ribosomal RNA". It matches the Rfam family "Bacterial small subunit ribosomal RNA", at positions 28 to 507 of the family's 1533-position model. The record is from RNAcentral.
GACGAACGCUGGCGGCGUGCUUAACACAUGCAAGUCGAGCGGAAAGGCCCUUCGGGGUACUCGAGCGGCGAACGGGUGAGUAACACGUGAGUAACCUGCCCCAGACUUUGGGAUAACCCUCGGAAACGGGGGCUAAUACCGGAUACGACACAGCUUCGCAUGGGGUCUGUGUGGAAAGUUUUUCGGUUUGGGAUGGGCUCGCGGCCUAUCAGCUUGUUGGUGGGGUGAUGGCGUACCAAGGCGACGACGGGUAGCCGGCCUGAGAGGGCGACCGGCCACACUGGGACUGAGACACGGCCCAGACUCCUACGGGAGGCAGCAGUGGGGAAUAUUGCACAAUGGGCGGAAGCCUGAUGCAGCGACGCCGCGUGAGGGAUGACGGCCUUCGGGUUGUAAACCUCUUUCAGCAGGGACGAAGCGUAAGUGACGGUACCUGCAGAAGAAGCGCCGGCCAACUACGUG